This 564-nucleotide ribosomal RNA is filed under the name uncultured bacterium. RNAcentral describes it as "bacterial SSU rRNA". It matches the Rfam family "Bacterial small subunit ribosomal RNA", at positions 9 to 597 of the family's 1533-position model. The record is from RNAcentral.
GAGUUUGAUCCUGGCUCAGGAUGAACGCUGGCGGCGUGCUUAACACAUGCAAGUCGAACGGACGUAGCAAUACGUUAGUGGCGGACGGGUGAGUAACGCGUGAGCAAUCUGCCCAUGUCUGGGGGAUAACAGUUAGAAAUGACUGCUAAUACCGCAUAUGACCACAGGAAGGCAUCUUCCAGGGGUGAAAGAUUUAUCGGACAUGGAUGAGCUCGCGUCCCAUUAGGCAGUUGGCGGGGUAACGGCCCACCAAACCGACGAUGGGUAGCCGACCUUAGAGGGUGAUCGGCCACAUUGGAACUGAGACACGGUCCAAACUCCUACGGGAGGCAGCAGUGGGGAAUAUUGGGCAAUGGAGGCAACUCUGACCCAGCAACGCCGCGUGAACGAUGAAGGUCUUCGGAUUGUAAAGUUCUUUAAGUGGGGACGAAGAAAGUGACUGUACCCACAGAAUAAGCCUCGGCUAACUACGUGCCAGCAGCCGCGGUAAUACGUAGGAGGCAAGCGUUAUCCGGAAUGACUGGGCGUAAAGGGUGCGUAGGUGGUUUGGCAAGUUGGUAGCGU